AAUUGACGGGGACCCGCACAAGCGGUGGAUGAUGUGGAUUAAUUCGAUGCAACGCGAAGAACCUUACCUACCCUUGACAUGUCCGGAACUUGCCAGAGAUGGCUUGGUGCCCGAAAGGGAAUCGGAACACAGGUGCUGCAUGGCUGUCGUCAGCUCGUGUCGUGAGAUGUUGGGUUAAGUCCCGCAACGAGCGCAACCCUUAUCAUUAGUUGCUACGCAAGGGCACUCUAAUGAGACUGCCGGUGACAAACCGAAGGAAGGUGGGGAUGACGUCAAGUCCUCAUGGCCCUUAUGACCUGGGCUACACACGUGCUACAAUGGUUGGUACAACGAGUUGCGAGUCGGUGACGGCGAGCUAAUCUCUUAAAGCCAAUCUCAGUUCGGAUUGUAGGCUGCAACUCGCCUACAUGAAGUCGGAAUCGCUAGUAAUCGCGGAUCAGCACGCCGCGGUGAAUACGUUCCCGGGCCUU
This 470-nucleotide ribosomal RNA is filed under the name uncultured Tepidiphilus sp. RNAcentral describes it as "bacterial SSU rRNA". It matches the Rfam family "Bacterial small subunit ribosomal RNA", at positions 908 to 1382 of the family's 1533-position model. Lineage: Bacteria; Pseudomonadati; Pseudomonadota; Hydrogenophilia; Hydrogenophilales; Hydrogenophilaceae. The record is from RNAcentral.